CAGUAGCCGCGGGAAUACGUAGGGCGCAAGCGUUAUCCGGAAUUAUUGGGCGUAAAGAGCUCGUAGGCGGUUUGUCGCGUCUGCCGUGAAAGUCCGGGGCUCAACCCCGGAUCUGCGGUGGGUACGGGCAGACUAGAGUGAUGUAGGGGAGACUGGAAUUCCUGGUGUAGCGGUGAAAUGCGCAGAUAUCAGGAGGAACACCGAUGGCGAAGGCAGGUCUCUGGGCAUUAACUGACGCUGAGGAGCGAAAGCAUGGGGAGCGAACAGGAUUAGAUACCCCCGUAGUCCCUGUCUCUUAUAC
This 301-nucleotide ribosomal RNA is filed under the name uncultured bacterium. RNAcentral's name for it is "partial 16S ribosomal RNA". It matches the Rfam family "Bacterial small subunit ribosomal RNA", at positions 509 to 807 of the family's 1533-position model. The record is from RNAcentral.